RNAcentral lists this unclassified non-coding RNA (171 nucleotides) under Arthroderma curreyi. RNAcentral's name for it is "partial internal transcribed spacer 2". The record is from RNAcentral. Lineage: Eukaryota; Fungi; Ascomycota; Eurotiomycetes; Onygenales; Arthrodermataceae. RNAcentral also lists the same sequence under 1 other name.
CAACCCUCAAGCUCGGCUUGUGUGAUGGGCGACCGUCCUUCCCCUAGGGGCGGGACGCGUCCGAAAAGCAGUGGCUAGGCCGCGAUUCCGGCGCCUGAGCGAAUGGGACUUCCACCGCUUCUAGGACCGGCCGGCACUUGGCCUUCAAACACGGUCUUAACUGACCAUCUA